CUGUGAUCGCACCAUUGCACCCCAGCCUGGGUGACAGAGUGAGAUCUUGUCUCAAAAAACAAACAAACAACAAAACAGGGACAAGAGCUUUUGCAGUAUCUCUUGCAACUCACUUAUUGAAGGCAUAAUUUAAUGUAAGCUUCAAAAGGGUGACUAGGACUAGAAGUCUUUGCUUUUCCCAAACGUUAUUCAGUUUUAGAGAAGAGCCACCUGAUGUUUUGCCUGCAUGUUGGUUUGGGGAAGAAGGACUGAGGUACCUACUGGUUGCAGCAGCUUCAUUACAGAC
Long non-coding RNA from Gorilla gorilla gorilla (western lowland gorilla), 286 nucleotides. RefSeq lists it as uncharacterized. Lineage: Eukaryota; Metazoa; Chordata; Mammalia; Primates; Hominidae. The record is from RefSeq and is a predicted model, not a curated record. The transcript has 3 exons.